This 482-nucleotide ribosomal RNA is filed under the name uncultured bacterium. RNAcentral describes it as "partial 16S ribosomal RNA". It matches the Rfam family "Bacterial small subunit ribosomal RNA", at positions 30 to 507 of the family's 1533-position model. The record is from RNAcentral.
AUUGAACGCUGGCGGCAUGCUUUACACAUGCAAGUCGAACGGUAACAGGCCGCAAGGUUCUGACGAGUGGCGAACGGGUGAGUAAUGCAUCGGAACGUGCCCAGUCGUGGGGGAUAACUACUCGAAAGAGUAGCUAAUACCGCAUACGAUCUAUGGAUGAAAGCGGGGGACCGUAAGGCCUCGCUCGAUUGGAGCGGCCGAUGUCAGAUUAGGUAGUUGGUGGGGUAAAGGCUCACCAAGCCAACGAUCUGUAGCUGGUCUGAGAGGACGACCAGCCACACUGGGACUGAGACACGGCCCAGACUCCUACGGGAGGCAGCAGUGGGGAAUUUUGGACAAUGGGCGCAAGCCUGAUCCAGCAAUGCCGCGUGCAGGAAGAAGGCCUUCGGGUUGUAAACUGCUUUUGUACGGAACGAAACGGCUCUGGUUAAUACCCGGGGCUAAUGACGGUACCGUAAGAAUAAGCACCGGCUAACUACGUG